Panicum virgatum (switchgrass) is the source of this 796-nucleotide long non-coding RNA. RefSeq lists it as uncharacterized. Lineage: Eukaryota; Viridiplantae; Streptophyta; Magnoliopsida; Poales; Poaceae. The transcript has 3 exons. The record is from RefSeq and is a predicted model, not a curated record.
AAAAAAAUCUCUUCCCUCAGAUCUGCACCACCCCAAUUCCCCAUCGGCCGCCGCCUCCGCCCCCAGCCAGCUCCGAUUCCCAGCCCUCCCCUUUGCGCCCCUGCUAACCCCGCCCCCUCGCGCCCUCCACCUCCCGCCACUGCCGCCAGGAGCGCUCCACCUCCCGCCACUGCCGCCAGGAGCGCGGUGAGGCGCCGCCUUCGCGCGAGUCCGUCAUUGAUGCCAUGCUUCAGAGGGCUGGGGAGGCCGACCAGCUCGCAAAGGCCGCUUCCGUCUCCUCUGACUCCAACCUCGUCAUCGACCUAUGAGUGCCCGUCCAUCUCCUCCGCCUCCUUGGGGGGAAAUUUUCAGUUGGUGUUGCGAGAUUUGCGUCUCCGCCUGCUUUGGAUUCUCAUGGAUUAGGUUGGUUUGGCGCAGGGACGACACGACGGGCGAGACGGACGAGGAGAGGCGGCGGCUGCGGAAGGAGCAGGAGGCCCUGGCCUCAGUUUCCCUGGACGAUGACCGUAGAGGAGCUAGAUGCGAACAAGAGGCGGGCAUUCCUUGUGUGGCGUAUAAUUCUUGCAAAAUUGGAAGAGAAUGGCAAGCUUUUCCUGACACCCUUUGAGAAGAAUUUUGACAUCUGGAGAUAGCUCUGGAGAGUGCUUGAAUGCAGUGAUUUGGUGAGCCUAAGGAUGUUAGACCGGAUGGUCAAAGCACUCCGGUGGCACCCCCGCAGCCAGAGUUCGAGCCCCCGUAGGCGCACUCGGGUGGAGUUUUCGGGAAUUUCCCGUGCGGGGUAAAAAAAACCCCCUCG